CAGUAGCCACGGUAAUACGUAGGUGGCAAGCGUUGUCCGGAAUUAUUGGGCGUAAAGGGCUCGCAGGCGGUUUCUUAAGUCUGAUGUGAAAGCCCCCGGCUCAACCGGGGAGGGUCAUUGGAAACUGGGAAACUUGAAUGCAGAAGAGGAGAGUGGAAUUCCACGUGUAGCGGUGAAAUGCGUAGAGAUGUGGAGGAGCACCAGUGGCGAAGGCGACUCUCUGGUCUGUAACUGACGCUGAGGAGCGAAAGCGUGGGGAGCGAACAGGAUUAGAUACCCCGGUAGUCCCUGUCUCUUAUAC
RNAcentral lists this ribosomal RNA (301 nucleotides) under uncultured bacterium. RNAcentral describes it as "partial 16S ribosomal RNA". It matches the Rfam family "Bacterial small subunit ribosomal RNA", at positions 509 to 807 of the family's 1533-position model. The record is from RNAcentral.